AACGAACGCUGGCGGCAUGCCUAACACAUGCAAGUCGAACGAGACCUUCGGGUCUAGUGGCGCACGGGUGCGUAACGCGUGGGAACCUGCCCUUAGGUUCGGAAUAACUCCCCGAAAGGGGUGCUAAUACCGGAUAAUGUCUUCUAACCAAAGAUUUAUCGCCUUUGGUUGGGCCCGCGUUGGAUUAGCUAGUUGGUAGGGUAAAAGCCUACCAAGGCGACGAUCCAUAGCUGGUCUGAGAGGAUGAUCAGCCACACUGGGACUGAGACACGGCCCAGACUCCUACGGGAGGCAGCAGUGGGGAAUAUUGGACAAUGGGCGAAAGCCUGAUCCAGCAAUGCCGCGUGAGUGAUGAAGGCCUUAGGGUUGUAAAGCUCUUUUACCCGGGAUGAUAAUGACAGUACCGGGAGAAUAAGCUCCGGCUAACUCCGUG
RNAcentral lists this ribosomal RNA (433 nucleotides) under uncultured bacterium. Its description in RNAcentral is "partial 16S ribosomal RNA". It matches the Rfam family "Bacterial small subunit ribosomal RNA", at positions 29 to 507 of the family's 1533-position model. The record is from RNAcentral.